RNAcentral lists this ribosomal RNA (253 nucleotides) under uncultured bacterium. RNAcentral's name for it is "partial 16S ribosomal RNA". It matches the Rfam family "Bacterial small subunit ribosomal RNA", at positions 524 to 776 of the family's 1533-position model. The record is from RNAcentral.
UACGUAGGGUGCGAGCGUUGUCCGGAAUUAUUGGGCGUAAAGAGCUUGUAGGCGGUUUGUCGCGUCUGCUGUGAAAAUCCGGGGCUCAACCCCGGACUUGCAGUGGGUACGGGCAGGCUAGAGUGUGGUAGGGGAGACUGGAAUUCCUGGUGUAGCGGUGAAAUGCGCAGAUAUCAGGAGGAACACCGAUGGCGAAGGCAGGUCUCUGGGCCACUACUGAUGCUGAGAAGCGAAAGCAUGGGGAGCGAACAGG